Molecule: unclassified non-coding RNA, 354 nt
Filed under: soil metagenome
Description: partial contains 5.8S ribosomal RNA, internal transcribed spacer 2, and large subunit ribosomal RNA
Rfam family: 5.8S ribosomal RNA (bases 1-120)
Source: RNAcentral
GAUGAAGAACGCAGCGAAAUGCGAUAAGUAAUGUGAAUUGCAGAAUCCCGUGAAUCAUCGAAUCUUUGAACGCACAUUGCGCCCCCUGGCAUUCCGGGGGGCAUGCCUGUCCGAGCGUCAUUUCUGCCCUCCAGCCCGGCUGGGUGUUGGGCGCUGUCCCCCCGGGGACACGCCCCAAAGGCAGUGGCGGCGCCGCGUCGGGUCCUCGAGCGUAUGGGGCUUUGUCACCCGCUCGGGACGGACUCGUCGGCGCUGGUCUUCCUCCAGGCGACCCUUCGGGGCUCGUCUUCCUUCGGUUGACCUCGGAUCAGGUAGGGUUACCCGCUGAACUUAAGCAUAUCAAUAAGCGGAGGA